RNAcentral lists this ribosomal RNA (497 nucleotides) under uncultured bacterium. RNAcentral's name for it is "partial 16S ribosomal RNA". It matches the Rfam family "Bacterial small subunit ribosomal RNA", at positions 28 to 507 of the family's 1533-position model. The record is from RNAcentral.
GAUGAACGCUGGCGGCGUGCCUAAUACAUGCAAGUCGAGCGAACGGACGAGAAGCUUGCUUCUCUGAUGUUAGCGGCGGACGGGUGAGUAACACGUGGAUAACCUACCUAUAAGACUGGGAUAACUUCGGGAAACCGGAGCUAAUACCGGAUGAUAUUUUGAACCGCAUGGUUCAAAAGUGAAAGACGGUCUUGCUGUCACUUAUAGAUGGAUCCGCGCUGCAUUAGCUAGUUGGUAAGGUAACGGCUUACCAAGGCAACGAUGCAUAGCCGACCUGAGAGGGUGAUCGGCCACACUGGAACUGAGACCCGGCCCAGACUCCUACGGGAGGCAGCAGUAGGGAAUCUUCCGCAAUGGGCGAAAGCCUGACGGAGCAACGCCGCGUGAGUGAGGAAGGUCUUCGGAUCGUAAAACUCUGUUAUUAGGGAAGAACAUAUGUGUAAGUAACUGUGCACAUCUUGACGGUACCUAAUCAGAAAGCCACGGCUAACUACGUG